Molecule: ribosomal RNA, 175 nt
Filed under: uncultured bacterium
Lineage: Bacteria
Description: partial 16S ribosomal RNA
Rfam family: Bacterial small subunit ribosomal RNA
Source: RNAcentral
UGAGGAACAUGACCUUCGGCGGGGGAUAGCCGGCCCAGCGGCCGGGUAAUACCGCGUACGACCACAUGGGGACAUCCCUGAGUGGUGAAAGCAGCAAUGCGCCGAUGGAGUGCCUCGCGGCCUAUCAGCUAGUUGGUGAGGUAACGGCUCACCAAGGCGACGACGGGUAGCUGGU